CACGUAGGGGGCAAGCGUUGUCCGGAUUUAUUGGGCGUAAAGAGCUCGUAGGUGAUUCGGUAAGUCAGGUGUGAAACCUCCAGGCUCAACCUGGAGACGCCACUUGAUACUGCUGUGACUGGAGUCCGGUAGGGGAGCGUGGAAUUCCUGGUGUAGCGGUGAAAUGCGCAGAUAUCAGGAGGAACACCAGCGGCGAAGGCGGCGCUCUGGGCCGGUACUGACACUGAGGAGCGAAAGCGUGGGUAGCAAACAGG
Molecule: ribosomal RNA, 254 nt
Filed under: uncultured bacterium
Lineage: Bacteria
Description: partial 16S ribosomal RNA
Rfam family: Bacterial small subunit ribosomal RNA
Source: RNAcentral